This 1408-nucleotide long non-coding RNA is filed under the name Chinchilla lanigera (long-tailed chinchilla). RNAcentral's name for it is "lncRNA (ENSCLAG00000027593.1)". The record is from RNAcentral. Lineage: Eukaryota; Metazoa; Chordata; Mammalia; Rodentia; Chinchillidae.
CACAUCCAGAUCCUAUGAAUAUCUCAUAAUAAUAUUUUUUCUGUGCAGGCUUUAUAAUCUAUCAUAUUUAGUUUUAGAUAUUUUAUUUUUAAGUGGAUUCUCCCUUAAAAUUACUUGUCCUAUUUGCUCGUUGUGCUACAGAAAUGUUUACUGAAUACCCGUAAGAUUAUAUAGAGAUGCAAGUGAUUUUUCCAUAAAUCAAUAAGUUUAUUGUAAACUUAUUUUUCCCUAAUAAGUUGUCUUUAGGAUGUUUACACAGGUUGUCCUACUGUUUGUGAAAUAAUGAAGCCCUCUGCCUUCCUUUCCAGCUUUUCAAGUAAAUCUAUUUUAAUUUUAAUUUGCCUUGCUACGUAUUUCCUAUACAUGAUAAUGCCAUCGCUCGCGGGGAGCUGGUGCAUGCACAGCGCGUCUUAAUUCGCCUCAUGUCAUCUCUCCACCCCUCCCGCCCUUCCUCCAUCUCUUGAUCCCCUUCGUAUUUCCGAAGGACCGACUUCUGCCUCUAUUUCUCUGCUGGGUCAGGACGGGGAGAGGGGAGCUAGCGGCCGCGCAUGCGCAGUCCCGGGAUGCUGCCUCUGGCGCCCGCCUGCCCGUCCCUGUCCCACGCAGUUUGGCGCCCUCUGCCGGUGACUGGGCCCUCGUGCGUGCUGCGGACCCCAUGGCGCAACGUCCAGGAGAUUCCUGGGAGACCAGAUGGGAAAACUGAGGUGCGGAGAGACCCCCAAAGCUGGGAAGUGGCAAGACGGAUUCACCCGAGCCAAGAGGAUGGGUCUGUGUGGGGUGUGGUGGCCAGGCAGGUGACUGCCACACCCUGAUGGGCUGAAGCAGGAGGGACCCAAUUUCAAGUCCAGCCUGGGCAACUUAGACCCUGUCUCAAGGUCUAAAAGAAACAAAAUAAAGAAGAACUGGGGAGUGUAGCUCAGUGUGCCCAUGUCGGCGUCUUCAUCCUCCUAGAGCAAAUGGGGAAUUGAGCCUGAGGUCACCACUGCAUGUUAGGUAGACAGUUCAGUCGGUAAUGCAAAUGAGCCCGACUCAGUUUGAUUAUUUUAAUUGUCCCAGUCUGCAUUGGUUCUGAUAAGCAUCUAGCAGCUGCUCAGAUCCUCCAUCACCCCAGCUGCGUCCGUGGUGAGCUCUGGUACACUGCGUAGGUCUGUCUUCACACUCGAACACGGGAGGGCUCUGUUCCUCGGGUCCUGUGCGAAUUCCCCUGUCUUCAGCAGUGGGAACUUUCCUCCCUUCUGCUCUGAGUCUCGUGUGACCACCAGGGUAGUUGUGGGCACUGCUACCAAGCUGUGUCUCCACCCAAAGUGACACGUAGGAGUUCUAACCCUCCAAUGUCUCAAUCUGCAACUGUGCUUAGAUAUAAUAAGGCCUUUUAGUGUUUUGAGAUAGAGUCUUACCAUGUAGCCCA